UUAAUAGAAGCCAAAAUUCCCCCCGCGGCUAUUCACUGUUAAUGAAUAAAUUGAGAUAUUCCUAUUAAA
RNAcentral lists this transfer RNA (69 nucleotides) under Ixodes auritulus. RNAcentral describes it as "tRNA-Asn". The record is from RNAcentral. Lineage: Eukaryota; Metazoa; Arthropoda; Arachnida; Ixodida; Ixodidae.